RNAcentral lists this ribosomal RNA (238 nucleotides) under uncultured bacterium. Its description in RNAcentral is "partial 16S ribosomal RNA". It matches the Rfam family "Bacterial small subunit ribosomal RNA", at positions 96 to 334 of the family's 1533-position model. The record is from RNAcentral.
CGGCGGACGGGUGAGUAACGCGUGGGUAACCUGCCUCAUACAGGGGGAUAACAGUUAGAAAUGACUGCUAAUACCGCAUAAGACCACAGCACCGCAUGGUGCAGGGGUAAAAACUCCGGUGGUAUGAGAUGGACCCGCGUCUGAUUAGCUGGUUGGUGGGGUAACGGCCUACCAAGGCGACGAUCAGUAGCCGACCUGAGAGGGUGACCGGCCACAUUGGGACUGAGACACGGCCCAA